Molecule: long non-coding RNA, 1149 nt
Filed under: Taeniopygia guttata (zebra finch)
Lineage: Eukaryota; Metazoa; Chordata; Aves; Passeriformes; Estrildidae
Description: lncRNA (ENSTGUG00000019128.1)
Source: RNAcentral
UGAAAAUCAUGCCCUAAGGUUUUUAUCUCGUGCUGAACCAAGCAAGUGCCCUGAAACCAUCGGAGCAGCUGCAGGGGCUGAAGGGAACAGGAAGGGCUCUCCGGCACCUUUUGCCUCCGUUCUCUGCCAUUCUCCGUCGCAGUCCCGGAAGAGGCGUCUGUCAUGCAGCCUGCCAAAAUGAAGACCUGUAAAAUCCGAGCUCUGCCUUUUGUUCAAGGUGUUUUUACUUCAUAUUUAUGUCAUCACAGAAAGCAAGGAAAGAAGAAAUGUGACUGGUAACCACUAUUGCUCUGUACAGGCACUUUUAAAGGCUGCUGUACUUAUGUUCUCCUUUUCCACUCCAAGCUUGACUUUCCCUCUCAUAUUUCGAGGUCUGCCGCUUUGGGUGUCCCAAGGAGGGCAGGGUUCCUCAGCAGGGGUCUUAGGAGUUGGUUCUGCUUUUUCCGAAGGUGUAUCGAAGUGUGCUACCAAAAUGACUAUUUUCUCCACGGGAAAGCUUUCUCUCAAUGACAAUCAAUGCAUGUAUGUGUUUUAACCGUGUAACCAGAUGGAUUAAGAAAAACCAACACCCGUGGUAGAUUUCUGCUUGAUCUGUGUCUGUAAGAAGUGGGCUGUGUGCUGGAGAGUGAGAGAUGCUGUUGGAGAGUGGCAACAGCCCCAGGUGUGAGCUGUGAGGAUGGGGAGGGCUCAGAGCAGCCCCAGGUGUGAGCUGUGAGGAUGGGGAGGGCUCAGAGCAGCCCCAGGUGUGAGCUGUGAGGAUGAGGAGGGCUCAGAGCAGCCCCAGGUGUGAGCUGUGAGGAUGGGGAGGGCUCAGAGCAGCCCCAGGUGUGAGCUGUGAGGAUGAGGAGGAGGAGGCGGCUCCUGCCGGGAGGAGGUUGUUUUAGGGAGAGGGUUUGCUUCAGCUGGCUUUUGUAUGGUGCUGCUGCUGGAGAAGGGGAGUUUAUGGGGAGCUCCCGGGCCUGUCUCAUGGAAGGACGAUGGGUGCUUGGGACAGGGUCCGGGGGAUCACCUGGAUAUGCACUUGUGUACGUGGAGCCUUGCUCAAAGGAGGUGCCGAGGGACAAACUUUUGUGCCGAGAAACAGCAGCCAAACAGGGGAUGAAAUUGAAGGGAAGCCCACAUUUCUUUGCCCUGGUUGAAGUGAGGUGA